RNAcentral lists this ribosomal RNA (497 nucleotides) under uncultured bacterium. RNAcentral describes it as "partial 16S ribosomal RNA". It matches the Rfam family "Bacterial small subunit ribosomal RNA", at positions 28 to 507 of the family's 1533-position model. The record is from RNAcentral.
GAUGAACGCUGGCGGCGUGCCUAGUACAUGCAAGUCGAGCGAACGGACGAGAAGCUUGCUUUUCUGAUGUUAGCGGCGGACGGGUGAGUAACACGUGGAUAACCUACCUAUAAGACUGGGAUAACUUCGGGAAACCGGAGCUAAUACCGGAUAAUAUUUUGAACCGCAUGGUUCAAAAGUGAAAGACGGUCUUGCUGUCACUUAUAGAUGGAUCCGCGCUGCAUUAGCUAGUUGGUAAGGUAACGGCUUACCAAGGCAACGAUGCAUAGCCGACCUGAGAGGGGGGUCGGCCACACUGGAACGAAGGCAAGGUCCAGACUCCUACGGGAGGAAGCAGUAGGGAAGCUUCCGGAAUGGGCGGCAGCCUGACGGGGCAACGCCGCGGGGGGGAUGAAGGUCUUCGGAUCGUAAAAAUCUGUUAUUAGGGAAGAACAUAUGUGUAAGUAACUGUGCACAUCUUGACGGUACCUAAUCAGAAAGCCACGGCUAACUACGUG